RNAcentral lists this ribosomal RNA (618 nucleotides) under uncultured bacterium. RNAcentral's name for it is "bacterial SSU rRNA". It matches the Rfam family "Bacterial small subunit ribosomal RNA", at positions 57 to 672 of the family's 1533-position model. The record is from RNAcentral.
GCAAGUCGAACGAGAAAGGGCGCCUUCGGGGGCCUGAGUAAAGUGGCGAACGGGUGAGUAACACGUGGGUGACCUACCCUCUGGAGGGGGAUAACCCGGGGAAACCCGGGCUAAGACCGCAUAAGCCUUUGAAUUCAAACUCAAAGGGAAAAGGUUCUAGCUUUCGAGCUUGAUCCUACCGGAGGAGGGGCCCGCGUCCCAUUAGCUAGUUGGUGGGGUAAAAGCCUACCAAGGCUACGAUGGGUAGCCGGUCUGAGAGGACGGACGGCCACACUGGAACUGAGACACGGUCCAGACUCCUACGGGAGGCAGCAGUGGGGAAUUUUGGGCAAUGGGCGAAAGCCUGACCCAGCAACGCCGCGUGGAGGAUGAAGGCCCUCGGGUCGUAAACUCCUGUCCUAGGGGAAGAAAAAAAUGACGGUACCCUUGGAGGAAGCCCCGGCUAACUCCGUGCCAGCAGCCGCGGUAAGACGGGGGGGGCGAGCGUUGUUCGGAAUUACUGGGCGUAAAGGGCGCGCAGGCGGCCUGGGAAGUCUUGGGUGAAAGCCCCCAGCUCAACUGGGGAAUGGCCUGAGAAACCACUAGGCUGGAGUGCUGGAGAGGGAAGCGGAAUUCCCG